Molecule: ribosomal RNA, 405 nt
Filed under: uncultured bacterium
Lineage: Bacteria
Description: partial 16S ribosomal RNA
Rfam family: Bacterial small subunit ribosomal RNA
Source: RNAcentral
AUUGAACGCUAGCGGGAUGCUUUACACAUGCAAGUCGAACGAGUGGCGGACGGGUGAGUAAUAUAUCAGAACGUGCCCAGUAACGGGGGAUCAAUACUCGAAAGCGUGGCUAAUACCCCCAACUCUUGGUGCGGCCGAUCACGGAAUAGCUAGUUGGCGGGGUAAAGGCUCACCAAGGCAACGAUCCGUAGCUGGCUUGAGAGGGCGACCAGCCACACUGGGACUGAGACACGGCCCAGACUCCUACGGGAGGCAGCAGUGGGGAAUUUUCGACAAUGGGGGAAACUCUGACCCAGCCAUCCCGCGUGUGUGAGAAGGUCUUCGGGUUGUAAAGCUCUUUUGGCAGAGAAGCGGUAUCUGCAGAAUAAGCACCGGCUAACUACGUGCCAGCAGCCGCGGUAAUUC